UCAGGAUGAACGCUGCGGGAGGCCUAACACAUGCAAGCCGAGCGGUAUAGAUCUUUCGGGAUCUAGAGAGCGGCGUACGGGUGCGGAACACGUGUGCAACCUGCCUUUAUCUGGGGGAUAGCCUUUCGAAAGGGAGAUUAAUACCCCAUAAUAUAUCAGAUGGCAUCAUUUGAUAUUGAAAACUCCGGUGGAUAGAGAUGGGCACGCGCAAGAUUAGAUAGUUGGUGAGGUAACGGCUCACCAAGUCUACGAUCUUUAGGGGGCCUGAGAGGGUGAUCCCCCACACUGGUACUGAGACACGGACCAGACUCCUACGGGAGGCAGCAGUGAGGAAUAUUGGACAAUGGGUGAGAGCCUGAUCCAGCCAUCCCGCGUGAAGGACGACGGCCCUAUGGGUUGUAAACUUCUUUUGUAUAGGGAUAAACCUACCCUCGUGAGGGUAGCUGAAGGUACUAUACGAAUAAGCACCGGCUAACUCCGUGCCAGCAGCCGCGGUAAUACGGAGGGUGCAAGCGUUAUCCGGAUUUAUUGGGUUUAAAGGGUCCGUAGGCGGAUGUGUAAGUCAGUGGUGAAAUCUCACAGCUUAACUGUGAAACUGCCAUUGAUACUGCAUGUCUUGAGUGUUGUUGAAGUAGCUGGAAUAAGUAGUGUAGCGGUGAAAUGCAUAGAUAUUACUUAGAACACCAAUUGCGAAGGCAGGUUACUAAGCAACAACUGACCGCU
This 723-nucleotide ribosomal RNA is filed under the name Chryseobacterium sp. CI39. RNAcentral's name for it is "bacterial SSU rRNA". It matches the Rfam family "Bacterial small subunit ribosomal RNA", at positions 24 to 747 of the family's 1533-position model. Lineage: Bacteria; Pseudomonadati; Bacteroidota; Flavobacteriia; Flavobacteriales; Weeksellaceae. The record is from RNAcentral.